UAUCACUAAGCGGAGGAAAAGAAACCAACAGGGAUUGCCUCAGUAGCGGCGAGCGAAGCGGCAAAAGCUCAAAUUUGAAAUCUGGCUUCGGCCCGAGUUGUAAUUUGCAGAGGUCACUCCCGGAAACGUGCCCGCCGAGUCCCCUGGAACGGGGCGCCGCAGAGGGUGAGAGCCCCGUGCGGUGGGAUGCCGAUCCGCAGUGGAGGUCCUUCGAAGAGUCGAGUAGUUUGGGAAUGCUGCUCUAAGUGGGAGGUAAAUUCCUUCUAAAGCUAAAUACCGGCCAGAGACCGAUAGCGCACAAGUAGAGUGAUCGAAAGAUGAAAAGCACCUUGGAAAGAGGGUCAAACAGUACGUGAAAUUGCUAAAGGGGAAGCGCUUGCGACCAGACACGGGCUCGGCGGAUCAUCCGGCGUUCUUCGCCGGUGCACUUCGCCGCUGCCUGGGCCAGCAUCGGCUCGCCCGCCGGGGUACAAAAGCUCGGGGAACGUAGCUCCCUCCGGGGAGUGUUAUAGCCCCGGGCCUAAUGCCCCGGCGCGGGCCGAGGACCGCGCAUUUGCAAGGAUGCUGNCGUAAUGGUCGUCAGCGACCCGUCUUGAAACACGGACCAAGGAGUCGAACAUCUGCGCGAGUGUGUGGGUGGAAAACCCGCGCGCGCAAUGAAAGUGAACGGAGGUGGGAACCUUAGGGUGCACCAUCGACCGAUCCUGACGUUCUCUGAUGGAUUUGAGUAAGAGCGUAGCUGUUCGGACCCGAAAGAUGGUGAACUAUGCCUGCGUAGGGCGAAGCCAGAGGAAACUCUGGUGGAGGCUCGCAGCGGUUCUGACGUNCAAAUCGAUCGUCAAACGUGGGCAUGGGGGCGAAAGACUAAUCGAACCAUCUAUACUGGUUCC
This 890-nucleotide ribosomal RNA is filed under the name Lindriella thalassiae. RNAcentral describes it as "LSU rRNA". It matches the Rfam family "Eukaryotic large subunit ribosomal RNA", at positions 41 to 958 of the family's 3401-position model. Lineage: Eukaryota; Fungi; Ascomycota; Sordariomycetes; Lulworthiales; Lulworthiaceae. The record is from RNAcentral.